ACGUACACCCCUGCGGGAGGCAGCAGUGGGGAAUAUUGGACAAUGGGCGCAAGCCUGAUCCAGCCAUGCCGCGUGAGUGAUGAAGGCCCUAGGGUUGUAAAGCUCUUUCACCGGUGAAGAUAAUGACGGUAACCGGAGAAGAAGCCCCGACUAACUUCGUGCCAGCAGCCGCGGUAAUACGAAGGGGGCUAGCGUUGUUCGGAUUUACUGGGCGUAAAGCGCACGUAGGCGGACUAUUAAGUCAGGGGUGAAAUCCCGGGGCUCAACCCCGGAACUGCCUUUGAUACUGGUAGUCUUGAGUUCGAGAGAGGUGAGUGGAAUUCCGAGUGUAGAGGUGAAAUUCGUAGAUAUUCGGAGGAACACCAGUGGCGAAGGCGGCUCACUGGCUCGAUACUGACGCUGAGGUGCGAAAGCGUGGGGAGCAAACAGGAUUAGAAACCCUAGUAGUCCCAUG
Molecule: ribosomal RNA, 454 nt
Filed under: uncultured organism
Description: partial 16S ribosomal RNA
Rfam family: Bacterial small subunit ribosomal RNA
Source: RNAcentral